This 398-nucleotide unclassified non-coding RNA is filed under the name Hevea brasiliensis (rubber tree). Lineage: Eukaryota; Viridiplantae; Streptophyta; Magnoliopsida; Malpighiales; Euphorbiaceae. The record is from RNAcentral.
CUUGUAUGGGAAUUGAGGUCUGUUUUGUGUGAAUUCAACAAGUAUUUUCAACUAGCUAUGAUGGCAUCAUUUACUUUAUGGUGUUGGUUUGGUCUGUCGAGCAUCUUUUUUGCAACAUCCCAAGGUCUUAUGCGGUAACAAUUUUACAGCCUCGGGGAGUUUGACAUUGCUUAAAGAGUGGAUAGUUGAUUCACAGUGGGCUUUUAUUGGAUUCUGCAGUAACAAAUGACUCCCUUUGCUUUGGAGUUUAUCAAAUAUUCUGGUCAUUUGAGUUGUCAUGUCAGUGUGUUAUUAUACCAUGCAUUAAUGGUCAUUGAGCUCAUGUAAAAGGAGGAAAAUGAGAUCCUCGAAGGAAUUGGUUCAAUUACUGUGUAGUUGAAUUUUGGCAUGUACUCUCU